This 395-nucleotide ribosomal RNA is filed under the name Pelecanus crispus (Dalmatian pelican). RNAcentral's name for it is "partial 12S ribosomal RNA". It matches the Rfam family "Bacterial small subunit ribosomal RNA", at positions 794 to 1384 of the family's 1533-position model. Lineage: Eukaryota; Metazoa; Chordata; Aves; Pelecaniformes; Pelecanidae. The record is from RNAcentral.
GCCUAGCCCUAAAUCUUGAUACUUCCACCACUAAAGUAUCCGCCUGAGAACUACKAGCACAAACGCUUAAAACUCUAAGGACUUGGCGGUGCUCCAAACCCACCUAGAGGAGCCUGUCCUGUAAUCGAUAACCCACGAUAUACCUGACCACUUCUUGCCAACGCAGCCUACAUACCGCCGUCGCCAGCUCACCUCCCCUGAGAGAGCCACAGUGAGCAUAAUAGCCCACCACGCUAACAAGACAGGUCAAGGUAUAGCUUAUGAAGUGGAAGAGAUGGGCUACAUUUUCUAAAGUAGAAAACCCUACGAAAGAGGGCAUGAAACUGCCCCCGGAAGGCGGAUUUAGCAGUAAAGGAGGAUAAUAAAGCCCCCUUUAAGCUGGCUCUGGAGCACGU